CUUGGUCAUUUAGAGGAAGUAAAAGUCGUAACAAGGUUUCCGUAGGUGAACCUGCGGAAGGAUCAUUACAGAGUUCAUGCCCUUCGGGGUAGAUCUCCCACCCUGUGUAUUUAUACCUUUGUUGCUUUGGCAGGCCGUCAGGCUUCGGCUCGACUACCGGCUCCGGCUGGUAAGCGCCUGCCAGAGGAAAUCAAACUCUGAAUAUCAGUGUCGUCUGAGUAAAAUAUAAUAAGUUAAAACUUUCAACAACGGAUCUCUUGGUUCUGGCAUCGAUGAAGAACGCAGCGAAAUGCGAUAAGUAAUGUGAAUUGCAGAAUUCAGUGAAUCAUCGAAUCUUUGAACGCACAUUGCGCCCCUUGGUAUUCCGAGGGGCAUGCCUGUUCGAGCGUCAUUACAACCCUCAAGCUCUGCUUGGUAUUGGGCAUCACUAGAAAUAGUGUGCCUUAAAGACAGUGGCGGUGCCAUCUGGCUCUAAGCGUAGUAAUUCUUCUCGCUAUAGAUGUCUUGUGGAUGCUUGCCAGCAACCCCUAAUUUUUUAAGGUUGACCUCGGAUCAGGUAGGGAUACCCGCUGAACUUAAGCAUAUCAAUAAGCGGAGGAAAAGAAACCAACAGGGAUUACCUCAGUAACGGCGAGUGAAGCGGUAACAGCUCAANUUUGAAAUCUGGGUCUUUCAGGCUCCGAGUUGUAAUUUGUAGAAGAUGCUUCGGGUGUAGCUCCGGUCUAAGUUCCUUGGAACAGGACGUCAUAGAGGGUGAGAAUCCCGUAUGUGACUGGGUGCUUUCGCUCAUGUGAAGCUCUUUCAACGAGUCGAGUUGUUUGGGAAUGCAGCUCAAAAUGGGUGGUAUAUUUCAUCUAAAGCUAAAUAUUGGCCAGAGACCGAUAGCGCACAAGUAGAGUGAUCGAAAGAUGAAAAGCACUUUGGAAAGAGAGUUAAACAGUACGUGAAAUUGUUGAAAGGGAAGCGCUUGCAACCAGACUUGCACGUUGUCGAUCAUCCGAGGUUUUCCCCGGUGCACUCGAUUUCGUUCAGGCCAGCAUCGGUUUCAGUGGUUGGAUAAAGGCCUUAGGAAUGUGGCACCUCUCGGGGUGUGUUAUAGCCUAAGGUGCAAUGCAGCCUACUGGGACCGAGGACCGCGCUUCGGCUAGGAUGCUGGCGUAAUGGUUGUAAGCGACCCGUCUUGAAACACGGACC
RNAcentral lists this ribosomal RNA (1194 nucleotides) under uncultured fungus. Its description in RNAcentral is "eukaryotic LSU rRNA". The stretch from base 543 to 1194 matches the Rfam family "Eukaryotic large subunit ribosomal RNA", at positions 1 to 667 of the family's 3401-position model. The record is from RNAcentral. Lineage: Eukaryota; Fungi.